RNAcentral lists this ribosomal RNA (170 nucleotides) under Uropterygius fuscoguttatus. RNAcentral describes it as "partial small subunit ribosomal RNA". The record is from RNAcentral. Lineage: Eukaryota; Metazoa; Chordata; Actinopteri; Anguilliformes; Muraenidae.
CACCGCGGUUAUACGAGGGGCCCAAAUUGACACUCCAUCGGCGUAAAGCGUGAUUAGAGAAACUAAGAAAUAAAGCCAAAUAGCCCUUAUGCUGUCAUACGCAAAUGGGGCCCAAGAAGCCCAACGACGAAAGUGACUUUAAUAACCUUGAACUCACUACAGCCAGGGUA